This 497-nucleotide ribosomal RNA is filed under the name uncultured bacterium. RNAcentral describes it as "partial 16S ribosomal RNA". It matches the Rfam family "Bacterial small subunit ribosomal RNA", at positions 28 to 507 of the family's 1533-position model. The record is from RNAcentral.
GAUGAACGCUGGCGGCGUGCCUAAUACAUGCAAGUCGAGCGAACGGACGAGAAGCUUGCUUCUCUGAUGUUAGCGGCGGACGGGUGAGCAACACGUGGAUAACCUACCUAUAAGACUGGGAUAACUUCGGGAAACCGGAGCUAAUACCGGAUAAUAUUUUGAACCGCAUGGUUCAAAAGUGAAAGACGGUCUUGCUGUCACUUAUAGAUGGAUCCGCGCUGCAUUAGCUAGUUGGUAAGGUAACGGCUUACCAAGGCAACGAUGCAUAGCCGACCUGAGAGGGUGAUCGGCCACACUGGAACUGAGACACGGUCCAGACUCCUACGGGAGGCAGCAGUAGGGAACCUUCCGCAAUGGGCGAAAGCCUGACGGAGCAACGCCGCGUGAGUGAUGAAGGUCUUCGGAUCGUAAAACUCUGUUAUUAGGGAAGAACAUAUGUGUAAGUAACUGUGCACAUCUUGACGGUACCUAAUCAGAAAGCCACGGCUAACUACGUG